AACCGUGGUAAUUCUAUGGCUAAUACAUGCGCAAAUGUCCUUUUUCGCAAGGAAGAGGAUAGUGUUUAUUAGAUACAGAACCAAUACACCAGUUUAAUAACCUGGUGUGAAAAAGGUGAUUCAUAGUAACCGAACGGAUCGCAUUAUGGUCAUUAUUUUUAUAAUGGCUGGCGAUAGAUCAUUCAAGUUUCUGACCUAUCAGCUUUCGACGGUAGUGUAUUGGACUACCGUGGCAGUGACGGGUAACGGGGAAUUAGGGUUCGAUUCCGGAGAGGGAGCCUGAGAAACGGCUACCACAUCUAAGGAAGGCAGCAGGCGCGCAAAUUACCCAAUCCUGACUCAGGGAGGUAGUGCCAAGAAAUAACAACACUGGAAAUUUUAUUUCUAGUGAUGGGAAUGAUGGGAUUUUAAACCCCUUUCAGAGUAACAAUUGGAGGGCAAGUCUGGUGCCAGCAGCCGCGGUAAUUCCAGCUCCAAUAGCGUAUAUUAAAGUUGUUGCAGUUAAAAAGCUCGUAGUUGGAUAUCUGCUGGAAGCAAUCAGUCCGCCCUAUUUGUAGGGUGUGCACUUGAUGAAUUCUGGCA
This 582-nucleotide ribosomal RNA is filed under the name Sarcocystis heydorni. Its description in RNAcentral is "SSU rRNA". It matches the Rfam family "Eukaryotic small subunit ribosomal RNA", at positions 145 to 699 of the family's 1831-position model. The record is from RNAcentral. Lineage: Eukaryota; Apicomplexa; Conoidasida; Eucoccidiorida; Sarcocystidae.